This 300-nucleotide ribosomal RNA is filed under the name uncultured Oceanospirillaceae bacterium. Its description in RNAcentral is "bacterial SSU rRNA". It matches the Rfam family "Bacterial small subunit ribosomal RNA", at positions 114 to 417 of the family's 1533-position model. The record is from RNAcentral. Lineage: Bacteria; Pseudomonadati; Pseudomonadota; Gammaproteobacteria; Oceanospirillales; Oceanospirillaceae.
CGCGUAGGAAUCUACCUGAUAGUUGGGGAUAGCCCAGGGAAACUUGGAUUAAUACCGAAUACGCUCUACGGAGGAAAGGAGGGGAUCUUUUGACCUUUCGCUAUCAGAUGAGCCUGCGUGAGAUUAGCUAGUUGGUGAGGUAAUGGCUCACCAAGGCGACGAUCUCUAGCUGGUCUGAGAGGAUGAUCAGCCACACUGGAACUGAGACACGGUCCAGACUCCUACGGGAGGCAGCAGUGGGGAAUAUUGCACAAUGGGCGCAAGCCUGAUGCAGCCAUACCGCGUGUGUGAAGAAGGCCU